AGAACCACCAUCAUAUUUAUGCAGCUUUGGUAGUUUUGCAUGUAGAAAAAAAUACCCACUUUGCAUUUUCUACAUGCAAAAACUACCAAAGUUGUGUAUUCAUGUGCGGUUUUUCU
Molecule: microRNA precursor, 116 nt
Filed under: Callithrix jacchus (white-tufted-ear marmoset)
Lineage: Eukaryota; Metazoa; Chordata; Mammalia; Primates; Cebidae
Description: microRNA cja-mir-9979 precursor
Source: miRBase by way of RNAcentral